Molecule: ribosomal RNA, 615 nt
Filed under: Triticum aestivum (bread wheat)
Lineage: Eukaryota; Viridiplantae; Streptophyta; Magnoliopsida; Poales; Poaceae
Description: partial small subunit ribosomal RNA
Source: RNAcentral
AUGGCUUGCCUGGCUGCUAUCGGAGAUAGUUUCCUGGCCCGAGGUGCGCCCAUGGAGGAGCUCCAGGAGGCCGACGUGCUGUGGCCCGACACGCCGCCGCCGUCGCGGGACCGCCUGCCGGAUCAGCUGUACGAUUCCGCUGCCGCGGCCGCCGUCGACUUCUCGUGCGAGUCGUUCGGCAGCGACGACGACGGCCCUGCGGCGUCCUCGUCGAUGAGCUCGGCGUCCUCGUCGUCGACCGUGCUGCCGUUUGGUGGCGGGUCCUCCGGUGGCUUCCUCUCCUACCCUCCCGCCUCCGCCGGCGGGCAUGGCCGCGAGGGUGACAUGGCGGAGGAGUUCCAGGAGGCGGACGUGCUGUGGCCCGACGACGGUUACGAGCCGCGGGAGCGCGGCGCCGACGGAGGGGAACUCUGGUGGCUUUGCUGCGGCUUCGGCGCUGACGCGGCCGGCUACCACCGCGUGGAGCCUGCAGCUGGAGGUCAACGUCAAGCGUGGAGACCUCCGGUGUCGUCUCCGAUUGAUAUCCCUAUCGGACUUGCUGCCGCCGCCGCCGCCGCACGCCGUCGUCGCGCGGGGACCUUGCUGGUGCACCGUCGAUCGAUAGGGACGGGUUAA